GAUGAACGCUGGCGGCGUGCCUAACACAUGCAAGUCGAGCGUGAAGGUUCGGAUUGAUCCUUCGGGAGAGAGAAGAACUGGAAAGCGGCGGACGGGUGAGUAACGCGUGGGCAACCUGCCCCAUACAGCCGGAUAGCCACUGGAAACGGUGAUUAAUACGGCAUAAGACCACGAUACCGCAUGGUAACGGGGUCAAAGAUUUAUCGGUAUGGGGAUGGGGCCCGCGUCUGAUUAGCUAGUUGGUGAGGUAACGGCUCACCAAGGCGACGAUCAGUAACCGGCCUGAGAGGGCGAACGGUCACACUGGAACUGAGACACGGUCCAGACUCCUACGGGUGGCAG
Molecule: ribosomal RNA, 342 nt
Filed under: uncultured Bacillota bacterium
Lineage: Bacteria; Bacillati; Bacillota
Description: bacterial SSU rRNA
Rfam family: Bacterial small subunit ribosomal RNA
Source: RNAcentral